AACGAACGCUGGCGGCAUGCCUAACACAUGCAAGUCGAACGAGACCUUCGGGUCUAGUGGCGCACGGGUGCGUAACGCGUGGGAACCUGCCCUUAGGUUCGGAAUAACUCCCCGAAAGGGGUGCUAAUACCGUAUAAUGUCUUCGGACCAAAGAUUUAUCGCCUUUGGAUGGGCCCGCGUUGGAUUAGCUAGUUGGUAGGGUAAAAGCCUACCAAGGCGACGAUCCAUAGCUGGUCUGAGAGGAUGAUCAGCCACACUGGGACUGAGACACGGCCCAGACUCCUACGGGAGGCAGCAGUGGGGAAUAUUGGACAAUGGGCGAAAGCCUGAUCCAGCAAUGCCGCGUGAGUGAUGAAGGCCUUAGGGUUGUAAAGCUCUUUUACCCGGGAUGAUAAUGACAGUACCGGGAGAAUAAGCGCCGGCUAACUCCGUG
RNAcentral lists this ribosomal RNA (433 nucleotides) under uncultured bacterium. Its description in RNAcentral is "partial 16S ribosomal RNA". It matches the Rfam family "Bacterial small subunit ribosomal RNA", at positions 29 to 507 of the family's 1533-position model. The record is from RNAcentral.